CCUACGGGAGGCAGCAGUGGGGAAUCUUGGACAAUGGGCGCAAGCCUGAUCCAGCCAUGCCGCGUGAGUGAUGAAGGCCUUAGGGUCGUAAAGCUCUUUCGCCAGGGAUGAUAAUGACAGUACCUGGUAAAGAAACCCCGGCUAACUCCGUGCCAGCAGCCGCGGUAAUACGGAGGGGGUUAGCGUUGUUCGGAAUUACUGGGCGUAAAGCGCGCGUAGGCGGGUUGUUAAGUUAGAGGUGAAAUCCCGGGGCUCAACCCCGGAACUGCCUUUAAUACUGGCAACCUAGAGUUCGAGAGAGGUGAGUGGAAUUCCGAGUGUAGAGGUGAAAUUCGUAGAUAUUCGGAGGAACACCAGUGGCGAAGGCGGCUCACUGGCUCGAUACUGACGCUGAGGUGCGAAAGUGUGGGGAGCAAACAGGAUUAGAUACCCUGGUAGUCCACACCGUAAACGAUGAAUGCCAGUCGUCGGGUAGCAUGCUAUUCGGUGACACACCUAACGGAUUAAGCAUUCCGCCUGGGGAGUACGGUCGCAAGAUUAAAACUCAAAGGAAUUGACGG
RNAcentral lists this ribosomal RNA (560 nucleotides) under uncultured bacterium. RNAcentral's name for it is "bacterial SSU rRNA". It matches the Rfam family "Bacterial small subunit ribosomal RNA", at positions 338 to 916 of the family's 1533-position model. The record is from RNAcentral.